AUGAUCCGCCGCCGCGGUGGUUCGCCGCUUGAAGACGACGACAUGCUCGGGGAGAUCCUCCUCCGCCUCCCGCCCCAGCCGUCCUCCCUCCCUCGCGCCUCGGCCGUCUGCAAGCGCUGGCGAGGCCUCCUCACCAAUCCCGGAUUCCUCCGCCGCUUCCGCACGCACCACCGGGAGCCGCCCCUCCUCGGCGUCUUUCAUCAGCUCGAGUUCACUCCAGUCCUUGCAGCUCCUGACCGCAUACCUUUUGGGUGCCUUGACCUGCCAACCCGCGACUUGUGGGGCCGGUUGCUCGAUUGCCGCCAUGGCCGAGUCCUCAUCCUACACAGGUUCCGUCCUGAAGUCCUUGUGUGUGACCCCAUCAUGGGCGACCAACAAUGUGUGCCAAUUCCGCCUGAGUUCAAGAGGGGCUACCUCAACGGGACGGUGCUCUGUGCUGCAUGUGACAAGGGCCAUGUGCACGGUGGUUGCCACUCCACCCCUUUUAAGGUGGUCUUGCUGCUUAGUAAUGAUAGGCGUCCUCUCACCUCUGUUUAUUCCUCUGAGACGGGCACAUGGGGCGGUCUCAUCUCAACAGAGGUUCCAUGUCUUUAUAGUUGUAACGGUUAUAUUAGCACCCUUGUUGGUAAUGUCCUUUACUGGUCGUUUAUGUACGCGAAGAUGUGCAUACUUGGGUUUGAUUUGGAAAGGCAGAGCAUUGAUGUGAUCAAGGGGCCUCCCGGUAUGAAUCGAACACACAGCCACCGGAUCAUCCAGGCAGAGGACGGCACUGUUGCUAUUGUCAUGUUGUCUUACCGUUAUCAAAACAUUCAAAUAUGGCACAUGAAGGUCAAUUGCCAUGGUGUUUCCACAUGGGUGUUGUGGAAGACCAUUGAAACUGAUAAUAUUCUUGGACUCCCCACUCAGGUUGGAGGCGAGCAGGAAUUGCUGAAAUAUAUACUAGGAUAUGUUGAGGACACCGAUGGAAUAUUUUUAGAUGUGAAUGACAGUAUCUAUAUGGUUCAACUUAACUCGUUGCAAUCAAGGAAACUUUGUGAAACCCGUGAUAUUACUUCCUAUCAUUCUUUCAGGAGUUUCUAUGCGGCAGGUGAUUGUUCAUCCCAAAUCCUCAUACUAUAG
This 1119-nucleotide ribosomal RNA is filed under the name Triticum aestivum (bread wheat). Its description in RNAcentral is "partial small subunit ribosomal RNA". The record is from RNAcentral. Lineage: Eukaryota; Viridiplantae; Streptophyta; Magnoliopsida; Poales; Poaceae.